This 253-nucleotide ribosomal RNA is filed under the name uncultured bacterium. RNAcentral describes it as "partial 16S ribosomal RNA". It matches the Rfam family "Bacterial small subunit ribosomal RNA", at positions 524 to 776 of the family's 1533-position model. The record is from RNAcentral.
UACGAAGGGGGCUAGCGUUGCCCGGAAUCACUGGGCGUAAAGCGCACGUAGGCGGCUUUCUAAGUCAGGGGUGAAAUCCUGGAGCUCAACUCCAGAACUGCCUUUGAUACUGGCGAUCUUGAGUCCGGGAGAGGUGAGUGGAACUGCGAGUGUAGAGGUGAAAUUCGUAGAUAUUCGCAAGAACACCAGUGGCGAAGGCGGCUCACUGGCCCGGUACUGACGCUGAUGCGUGAAAGCUAGGGGAGCGAACGGG